RNAcentral lists this ribosomal RNA (468 nucleotides) under uncultured bacterium. Its description in RNAcentral is "partial 16S ribosomal RNA". It matches the Rfam family "Bacterial small subunit ribosomal RNA", at positions 28 to 507 of the family's 1533-position model. The record is from RNAcentral.
GACGAACGCUGGCGGCGUGCUUAACACAUGCAAGUCGAACGGAAAGGCCCUGCUUUUGUGGGGUGCUCGAGUGGCGAACGGGUGAGUAACACGUGAGUAACCUGCCCUUGACUUUGGGAUAACUUCAGGAAACUGGGGCUAAUACCGGAUAGGAGCUCCUGCUGCAUGGUGGGGGUUGGAAAGUUUCGGCGGUUGGGGAUGGACUCGCGGCUUAUCAGCUUGUUGGUGGGGUAGUGGCUUACCAAGGCUUUGACGGGUAGCCGGCCUGAGAGGGUGACCGGGCACAAUGGGACUGAGGUAAGGCCCAGACCCCUACGGGAGGCAGCAGUGGGGAAUAUUGCACAAUGGGCGGAAGCCUGAUGCAGCAACGCCGCGUGCGGGAUGACGGCCUUCGGGUUGUAAACCGCUUUCGCCUGUGACGAAGCGUGAGUGACGGUAAUGGGUAAAGAAGCACCGGCUAACUACGUG